Molecule: long non-coding RNA, 740 nt
Organism: Girardinichthys multiradiatus
Lineage: Eukaryota; Metazoa; Chordata; Actinopteri; Cyprinodontiformes; Goodeidae
Exons: 3
Source: RefSeq, a predicted model, not a curated record
UGCACUUUUGAGGCAUUAAAUAGACAGAGGAAAUGGAGCAAACAAGCGGCAAAAGUAGAACCAAGUUGCAGCUCCAUCAGCAGUGUUUACAGCCAUCACAGCUUUCUGGGAUAAUUCGACCACUUCUCUUGGCAGAAUCAAUAAGACAGGCCCAGAUAACAGUGAGGGCCUCUGCAGGGCGGAAGACCUCCUGAUUUGGGUGAACUUGUCAUCUCCUCCUUCUGUGUCUGCUCUCCUCUCAGUAUAAAGGAUCUCACUGUGCACGGAUGGCCCCGGUCGAGAACAACUAGGCGCCUGGUUCUGACAUAGUCGGACUGACGGCAGCGAGGGCCACACAUGCUCCCGGACUUUCAUCACAGCUAUGUUCGGCCCUUUCACUAAUUGCUGAAAGCUGGUCGGAGUGAGGCGAGGAUGGGUUCGGACUGUAAGGGUUUUAUUUAGCAGAGGAGACAGGGUCACAGCCACUGAUGCUCAUUAGUGAUUGAACUGAGCCAGUCUCCCAACUGCCUCAGCUCAGCACAGGGAUUGCUGAAACGGUGGAAACACAGCAACCAGGGAGACAGCAACAGCGACAACAACAGCGAUGACAAAAGAUGACCCGACAACGAAGGGACAGAAAACAGGAAUUUAAAUACAAAUGAGAUGAAAGGAACUACAGGAAAAACAGAUGGAUGCAGUUAGCAGAAAUACAAACAGGUGUGGAUCAUGACUCUGUCCUAAUAAUAAAAAAUAAUCUUUGA